AUGGUCUUAGCAGCCUCGUCCGCCCCGGAUUGGUGAGCCCCGCCGGAAGCCGCCUGCACACGCAUUUUCUAACAGAUAAGUCAAUCGGCAGAGACUUGCCCCCCUCUCCCCCCCCACCUUAUCCCAAAAUACCGUUUUCGCAAAGCCGGAGCCCACCAGUCACCCGGCAGCUCCCAGCACUCCCCUCUCCGCCACCCACCCUCGGCUCCUUAGCUCUAAAGGAGGGGGAUGAGGGGAUGUUUCCCCCCUCGCACCUCCUUUGGGGGUGCAAAAGGGUCGGCAGCAGCCGGCACCGGGGGUCCCGCACCCAGCCACCCCUCCGGGCCCGCAGCUUCCCCGGUGCCGCAUAACCUCUGUCCUCAGUCGGCUCUGGGAUGACGUGGCUUCGCACCCACCGCAAUUGGGGAUUUCGAGGUGUCCGUUCUGCUGGAGGCUCCUUAUGGACCGGGGGGAAAUAAAAAGAGAAGAUAGGCCUUUUCUUUUUUGUCGCGGCACGAAAUACCGUCUUUAGGCAAGGGUCUAAAGAUGCUAAAACGGCACCAGAAAUCGAAGAAAGAGAAGAUUGACCUUACCUGGAGAAGCAGCUGUGUGGGGAUGGUGAAAAUCCCCUCCUCGUGGUAACUGCCCCGAUUGCGACGUGAUGCGCAGUUCUGCGCUAAGAGGCAGCGAGAAACUGCUGUUCGUCCAACACAUUUCCCACGAGUUGCUCUCCUGCCAAGACAAGGAAUUCCGCCUCCCCCCCACCUCACCCCCCCCCCCCUUCUUCUCACCACUUACGGAUUUUUAACAGACGGCCGCAUUCAAACUGAGGGCUAGCACAGGAAAUGGCAAAGGUAGAACCCUCUUCUUUCAGGCUACAGAAACUUAUUUCACAUUUUUUAUUAAAAAAAAAAGAAAGAAAGAAAGAAAAAAAAAGGAGUUUUACUCCUCAAGAGGGAUUUUUGUUCCGCUCUCGUGAGUUCGGGGGGGUUUGGGACUGAAGUUUUCUCUCUUAGAUCCGCGUAAAUGCGUUGUUUGGGAAUUAUGAGCGCUUUAAGCUGGGGUUUUAUUACUGUUUCCCCGUUUUAAAAUAUUUCUAUUAUUAUUAAUAAUUAUUAUUAUUAUUUCGGCAUACUUUUCAUAUCCGAAAUUAACGCUCAGCCCUUUGAAGGCUGAGUGAUUUCUGAAUCUGGUCUCCAGACACCCCAUAGCCGCGAGGUUCGCUCUCAGCUGUUAUCCCCUCUUGCAUAUCCUUAUCGCCUUCAAAACCCAACGUGCAAAAGAAGAGUGAACGUAUCCAAAGUAACGCACACUGCACACCACCUCGAAACCGUGAUAGGACCCCCCCCGUCCCAUCCCAGCACAGCAGAAAGCUCCGCACCCCCGGAUCCCCCCCACCUCCUUCAUCUCAGUGCUAAAGCAUCUGGAAAAGGAAGGUGCCAAUUCUAAUAAACGAUAACAACUGCCCUUAACAAUAGUAAAAGUGCUUAAAUAUGUUGCCGGCCAAAAAUAAAUAAAAAUAAAUAAAUAGGAUCGUCCGCUCUUUUAUUUUUCUGAUGCCAAAACUUCCACAUCAGCAAAAGAUGGCAGUGGAGCAGACCUGAAAGCUGCAUCUUGUGAAGGCGUUUUGUGUUUGGUCGCUGGCGGUGCAGCAAUACCGACCCGAGGAGCUGUUUGUUAAGGAUGAAUUUUUGCAGCUGUGUGUUUCAAAGGGGAGCGCUGUGUGGAAUUGGUUCCCUCUCCCUACAAACAAGAAAGAUUAUUUAUAAACAACAUCUGAGCUAGGAAGCCUCUGGGUUUCCGUUGCAAGCUGACAACACUCCCAGUUUUUUUCCUCACAGGCAAAGAAUACACUUGGCACUGAUUCUGAGAGCAGCAAAAAGUUUCCACUUCGGACUUUUUUUAGGGGGGUAACUGUUUCUAGUUCCACUUUACCGACCAGCAAUAAACCCAUACCUCAAGUGAAGGCAGCCGGUGUGCAAAGCGAGCACAGCUCGCACACCCUGGCUGCUCUAACUCAAAAACUCAUCCCGAAAUUGACUCCCCGAGGUCCCUUUCUCCCCGGCUUUUCCUCCUCUGAGUUUUUUGUUUUUUGUUUUUUGUUUUUUUUUUCUUUUUUUCUCAAAGAGAAGAGCCUUUCAUACCAUUUCUUUCGGGGUCUAUUUGAGGCUUUCAUGUAUGAAGUCACAGGAAACAGACAGCACCACGCGAGCGGGGCUCCCAGAUCUGGGAUGGAGCGGCUGCUCGCCUGGAGUCCCUCUCAGCAAAGGUUACAAAGAGAUGAGCUAUGGGAAUAUGCAUCAAAAAUAAACUACUGAACAAACGGAAACCUCCAGAGGAGCGAAAGCAAAUGGAUUUGGCAGAUCAUCUUGUGAGGUUUCCAUCCACCAGGGAUCUGAGAACUCCUGCUCUUUGCCUCACAGCCACACUCCUAAGAGUCUUCUUGGUCUGAAUUUAUAUACUACAGAAGAUUAUAUACUCACAUGCUGACACAGUUCAUCAUUAUUUAUAGGAGGCGCACCAGGAUUUUUUUUUUCCCAAGAAUAUAUUUAUUACAGGUAAGACACAGCCAAUCUAUCUAGCAAACAGAGAACAGGUGUUUUGCUUCAAUUAACGUUCAAUAAUUUUAUCUAUACUUAUUCAACACCCCGAUGCCAACACGGCUGUUUAUCCAUCACUUGUAUAAACACAUUUCCACGAGCCAGGAGAGUUUAAUCUCCAGAACUCGCUUAAAUCAGCC
This is a long non-coding RNA of Gallus gallus (chicken), 2719 nucleotides long. Lineage: Eukaryota; Metazoa; Chordata; Aves; Galliformes; Phasianidae. The record is from Ensembl.